CGAUGAUGUGGGUUGCUUCCAUGGAUCCAUAAGACAACAAACAAGAUUAGAGAACUCACUGAAUUGGUUUUGGUCAGAUCCUUCGAUGCUUAAAUCAAAGAGAAUUUUUAUUACGCUCUAAACUGAGCACGUGAUAGACGCCGCAUACUUGCAAGACAAGCCCUACAAGCAUGCAAGGCUAUAGAUCACAUCAUAAAAAUUUC
Molecule: long non-coding RNA, 203 nt
Filed under: Elaeis guineensis (African oil palm)
Lineage: Eukaryota; Viridiplantae; Streptophyta; Magnoliopsida; Arecales; Arecaceae
Description: long non-coding RNA (EGUI_LNC074195)
Source: RNAcentral